UGAAAACAGGGGUUCUGAAGUGAUGAUCCCGCAAUAUGUCGUUUACAAGAUUGAAAUGUGGCAGUGUGUUCAGCAUUAUUAUAUGUUCCAGUCCUACUUUGACAUUGGAAUAACGCAGGAGCGUUCAGGGAAUAUUUUAUAAGUCUUUUAAGAGUUCCAUCCAGCAAUCUUCCAACAGCCUGGCUUGUAUACGAUUGCAGGUCUUCAGUGACACCUGGGUGGAGGGAUGAUCCCAGUGUACGGCAGGCGGGUUGGACGGCUGUCUAGGUGGGGCGUCCUGCUCCAGACAGUGGGGUCAGUAUGUGCUACUCUUCUGAAAGGGGAACUCGCAAGAAUUUUAUUGCAUUAUAAAACAUUUGGGAAAAAAAAAAGUUUCAUUGUUCAAUUUUCUGUGGUUACUGGCUGAUGUGGUGCAAUGCGGGCAUUUGAUUCCCAGUGAGCAUUUCAAAAACAUUCGACAGGACAAAGAAUCUAGUGAGAGUCGGGGGUAUGAGCAAAGACAAAAAUAUGUGGUGGACGUGAA
Molecule: long non-coding RNA, 523 nt
Organism: Brienomyrus brachyistius
Lineage: Eukaryota; Metazoa; Chordata; Actinopteri; Osteoglossiformes; Mormyridae
Exons: 3
Source: RefSeq, a predicted model, not a curated record